CCUACGGUGGGCAGCAGUGGGGAAUAUUGCACAAUGGGGGAAACCCUGAUGCAGCGACGCCGCGUGAGUGAAGAAGUAUUUCGGUAUGUACAGCCCUAUCAGCAGGGAAGAAAAGGACGGUACCUGAGUAAGAAGCCCCGGCUAACUACGUGCCCGAAGCCGCGGUAAUACGGAGGGGGCAAGCGUUAUACGGAUUUACGGGGGGGAAAGGGAGCGGAGACGGCAGUCCAGGUCUGGAGUGAAAUGCCGGGGCUUAACCCCGGAACUGCGGUGGAAACUGGGAAGCUAGAGUGCAGGAGAGGUACGUGGAAUUCGUAGUGUAGCGGUGAAAUGCGUAGAUAUUAGGAGGAACACCAGUGGCGAAGGCGGCUUACUGGACUGUAACUGACGUUGAGGCUCGAAAGCGUGGGGAGCAAACAGGAUUAGAUACCCGUGUAGUC
This 440-nucleotide ribosomal RNA is filed under the name uncultured bacterium. RNAcentral describes it as "partial 16S ribosomal RNA". It matches the Rfam family "Bacterial small subunit ribosomal RNA", at positions 338 to 795 of the family's 1533-position model. The record is from RNAcentral.